Molecule: transfer RNA, 87 nt
Filed under: Candidatus Moraniibacteriota bacterium
Lineage: Bacteria; Candidatus Moraniibacteriota
Description: tRNA-Ser
Rfam family: tRNA
About the family: Transfer RNA (tRNA) molecules are approximately 80 nucleotides in length. Their secondary structure includes four short double-helical elements and three loops (D, anti-codon, and T loops). Further hydrogen bonds mediate the characteristic L-shaped molecular structure. tRNAs have two regions of fundamental functional importance: the anti-codon, which is responsible for specific mRNA codon recognition, and the 3' end, to which the tRNAs corresponding amino acid is attached (by aminoacyl-tRNA synthetases). tRNAs cope with the degeneracy of the genetic code in two manners: having more than one tRNA (with a specific anti-codon) for a particular amino acid; and 'wobble' base-pairing, i.e. permitting non-standard base-pairing at the 3rd anti-codon position.
Source: RNAcentral
GGAAGCGUGGCCGAGAGGUUGAAGGCACCGCUCUCGAAAAGCGGCAUACCGGUAACGGUAUCGGAGGUUCGAAUCCUCCCGCUUCCG